UCUGCCAGGGAGUCCAGGUGGUAUCUGGCUCCCAGAAGGGCGCUCUCCACCACCAACAACCAAUGUUGCCAACACAGAGAUGACGAAUUGAAGCCCGAGGAGGUUCAUUGAUUUAGCCAAGCCCACACAGGCAGCUAUGCCUGUCAAGCAGAGCUUUUGUAAGACUUCCUACUAAGGAGAGAAGGAGUUGGAGUAUGGUCUUGAUUGUGCAUCUACUGUCCCUGGACCCAGGCAAGCUGAAUUCAUCA
Non-coding RNA from Phascolarctos cinereus (koala), 248 nucleotides. The record is from RefSeq and is a predicted model, not a curated record. Lineage: Eukaryota; Metazoa; Chordata; Mammalia; Diprotodontia; Phascolarctidae.